This 126-nucleotide microRNA precursor is filed under the name Paramuricea clavata. The record is from RNAcentral. Lineage: Eukaryota; Metazoa; Cnidaria; Anthozoa; Malacalcyonacea; Plexauridae.
GUUUGACAGUUAUGGCAGUUGAAUGGUUUCUAAUUUUAUUGUCCAAUCAGAUGAUUUAAAAUUCAAAACUACGCAUCUGAUUGGACAAUAAAAUUAGAAACCAUUCAACUGCCAGAAAUGUCAAAC